CUUGAAUUCCUAUAAGAGGUCCAGCCUGCCCAGUGACUUUGUUCAACGGCCGCGGUAUCCUAACCGUGCGAAGGUAGCGUAAUCACUUGUCUUUUAAAUGAGGACUUGUAUGAAUGGCAUCACGAGGGUUAUACUGUCUCCUUUUUCUAAUCAGUGAAACUAAUCUUCCCGUGAAGAAGCGGGAAUAAAUAUAUAAGACGAGAAGACCCUAUGGAGCUUUAAACUUAAUAACAAAUACUAACCUUACUUCAACUUCCAGAACAUUAAUCUUAAUUUUAGUAUCCUGUUUAUUAGUUUUAGGUUGGGGUGACCGCGGAGUAAAAAUUAACCUCCAUAUUGAAUAGGACUUGUCCUUGAGCUAAGAACUACAGCCCUAAGCACCAAUAAAUUGACAUUAAUUGACCCAAUAUUUUGAUCAACGAAC
RNAcentral lists this ribosomal RNA (424 nucleotides) under Osteocephalus leprieurii (Cayenne slender-legged treefrog). Its description in RNAcentral is "partial large subunit ribosomal RNA". It matches the Rfam family "Bacterial large subunit ribosomal RNA", at positions 1834 to 2439 of the family's 2925-position model. Lineage: Eukaryota; Metazoa; Chordata; Amphibia; Anura; Hylidae. RNAcentral also lists the same sequence under 1 other name. The record is from RNAcentral.